RNAcentral lists this ribosomal RNA (386 nucleotides) under uncultured organism. RNAcentral's name for it is "bacterial SSU rRNA". It matches the Rfam family "Bacterial small subunit ribosomal RNA", at positions 45 to 433 of the family's 1533-position model. The record is from RNAcentral.
UGCUUUACACAUGCAAGUCGAGCGGCAGCGCGGGGGCAACCCUGGCGGCGAGCGGCGGACGGGUGAGUAAUAUAUCGGAACGUAUCCAGUAAUGGGGAAUAACCUAGCGAAAGUUAGGCUAAUACCGCAUACGCCCUGAGGGGGAAAGUGGGGGACCGUAAGGCCUCACGUUAUUGGAGCGGCCGAUAUCCGAUUAGCUUGUUGGUGAGGUAAAAGCUCACCAAGGCGACGAUCGGUAGCUGGUCUGAGAGGACGACCAGCCACACUGGGACUGAGACACGGCCCAGACUCCUACGGGAGGCAGCAGUGGGGAAUUUUGGACAACGGUCGCAAGCCUGAUCCAGCCAUUCCGCGUGAGUGAAGAAGGCCUUCGGGUUGUAAAGCUC